RNAcentral lists this ribosomal RNA (503 nucleotides) under uncultured bacterium. Its description in RNAcentral is "bacterial SSU rRNA". It matches the Rfam family "Bacterial small subunit ribosomal RNA", at positions 30 to 527 of the family's 1533-position model. The record is from RNAcentral.
AUUGAACGCUGGCGGAAUGCUUUACACAUGCAAGUCGAACGGCAGCACGGGGCAACCUGGUGGCGAGUGGCGAACGGGUGAGUAAUACAUCGGAACGUGCCCAAUCGUGGGGGAUAACGUAGCGAAAGUUACGCUAAUACCGCAUACGAUCUACGGAUGAAAGCGGGGGAUCGCAAGACCUCGCGCGAAUGGAGCGGCCGAUGUCAGAUUAGGUAGUUGGUGGGGUAAAGGCUCACCAAGCCAACGAUCUGUAGCUGGUCUGAGAGGACGACCAGCCACACUGGAACUGAGACACGGUCCAGACUCCUACGGGAGGCAGCAGUGGGGAAUUUUGGACAAUGGGCGCAAGCCUGAUCCAGCCAUUCCGCGUGCAGGAUGAAGGCCUUCGGGUUGUAACUAGCUUUUGUACGGUAACGAAACGGCGAGCUCUAAUACAGUUGUCUAAUGACGGUACCGUAAGAAUAAGACACCGGCUAACUACGUGCCAGCAGCCGCGGUAAACG